Non-coding RNA from Exophiala viscosa, 139 nucleotides. The record is from the annotation of a RefSeq genome assembly. NCBI's taxonomy places the organism in Eukaryota, Fungi, Ascomycota, Eurotiomycetes, Chaetothyriales, Herpotrichiellaceae.
UCAGAUGUGGUCUAGUGGUAUGACGUUUCCUUAGCACAUGGUUCUACCAUGGAAAAGGUACAGAACUUCCAACAUGAUUUGUGAAACAAGAUAUUAAUGAAAAAUCAGGUUCAGGGUUCGAUUCCGUCAGUAUUUCGAG